GGUUCCAGUUGUUAACUGAAAAAAUCCUUCGAGUGCUCUCUCUCUGGCUCGCGUUUCCUUCUCCGCCCUCGCGAUCUCGCAACGCAGCUGUUCUCCUGUUACCGGUCGUCGCCCGCCGUCUUUGUCGGCCGCUUUCUCAGCUGCUGCAGCAGCCUUCCGUCUCUCGCUGUCCCCGCAGUCGGCUUGUCGCAUCGUAGCAGCUCCGAUUGCCGACGCCCUUUGCAGUAGCGUCGAUCGUUCGCCGCGGCGUAGAAGCUGUGACCCCGUGUCCCGCCCCUGCGGUCAGCGGUCGUGCCAACGUUUGCGGUCGCUUCCGGCAACACUGCAGCCGCCGCCCGGUCCGAGCAGUUGUAGCCCUUGUCAUUCUCCGUUAUCUCCGAGCGUGAAAGAAAGUGAAGUUUCCGCUAAAGUGAUCACCAGUGGCAGCAAGGAGGCACACUUUCUCCACUUUGGUGUUUGAUCGGAAAAUCACAGCGCGAGGUGGAUGGAAAAUAGUCAACCCUUACUGUAUCAAGCAUCUACUACCACAGAUACUUCAACCAAUGUUUCAUCUGAACACAUUUUAACAAACUUGGACACUGCGCUUGGUGUUGAAAACUCUGAUCCUGUUUCUGCAAUGCCAUUGACCAAUAUUUCUAUUACUGAUGGUGGUGGCUCCUAUGAAAACAAUCCAAGUUUGACGCCAGAAAAUGUUCCAGUUGAUUCUGUAGCUGAUGUGCAUACUGAAAGCACUACCAACAAAGAAAAUAAGGCAGAUGCCUCAACACAUGCAGUUGGUUAUGAUUCAGUUAAUGGAAACAUCAAUGAAAUGGUAAAUUAUCAAGCUGUUGGAGCCAUUGAGAAUGGGGUUAUGUCAGGUGAUACUGGCGGAGCUGCCAUUGAGCACGUGUAUGGAGAUGUGGUGUAUUCAGCUGAGGAGGAAAGGUUAUGGAAUUUGGUUCAGGUGAAUUGUUUAGAUUUCAAUGCGUGGACAUCACUUAUUGAUGAAACAGAAAAAGUUGCUGAGAAUGACAUUAUCAAAAUUCGAAAAGUUUAUGAUGCAUUCUUGGCUGAAUUUCCCUUAUGUUAUGGCUACUGGAAGAAAUAUGCUGAUCAUGAGGGGCGUUUGGACAGUAUCAACAAAGUGGUGGAGGUGUAUGAACGAGCUGUUCUAGCAGUAACCUACUCUGUUGAAAUUUGGCUGCAUUACUGUACUUUUGCAAUUUCAACAUAUGAAGAUCCUGAUAUUAUCCGAAGGUUGUUUGAACGUGGACUGGCAUAUGUUGGCACUGAUUAUCUGUCAUACCAGUUGUGGGAUGAGUACAUUAGAUAUGAGGAGUCUCAUCAGGCAUGGAGUAAUCUGGCCAUGAUUUAUACCAGAAUUUUGGAGAAUCCAAUUCAACAACUAGAUCGCUAUUUUAACUGCUUUAAAGAGCUGGCAUCCAUUCAUCCUCUGUCCGAAAUACGUAUGGCUGAGGAAGCUGCUAUUGUGAUUUCCACUUUGGAUUCUAGCUUGGAAUCUCUUCAUGGCGAAGUUCAUGACGAUGUAGUAGAACAAUCUUCUAAACCCGUAAGUGCAGGUUUAACAGAAGCUGAGGAGUUGGAGAAGUAUAUUGCUAUUAGGGAAGAGAUGUAUAAGAAAGCUAAAGAGUUCGAUUCUAAGAUCAUUGGUUUUGAAACAGCUAUCAGAAGGCCAUACUUCCAUGUCAGGCCUCUUGAUGAUAUAGAGCUUGAAAAUUGGCACCAUUAUCUUGAUUUUAUCGAGAGAGGAGAUGAUUUCAACAAGGUUGUUAAGUUGUACGAAAGAUGUUUAAUUGCUUGUGCCAAUUAUCCGGAGCUUUGGAUCCGCUAUGUUCUAUGCAUGGAAGCAAGUGGAAGCAUGGAACUUGCCUAUAAUGCUCUUGCUAGGGCAACUCAAGUCUUUGUUAAGAAACAACCUGAGAUUCAUCUAUUCGCUGCUAGAUUCAAGGAACUAAGUGCUGAUAUUGACGGAGCUCGCACAACAUAUCAGUUUCUUUACUCUGAAGUUUCUCCUGGUUUGUUGGAACCUAUUGUGAAACAUGCAAAUAUGGAAUAUCGAUUGGGUGAGAAAGAGGCAGCUUUCUCUAUUUAUGAGAGAGCUAUAAAUGCUGAACAGGAGAAAGAGCAUUCUCAGCUGCUACCAUUGUUGCUUAUUCAAUACUCACGCUUUCUUUAUUUGGUUGUUGGUGAUGCAGAGAAGGCAAGGGAGGUUCUAUCUGGACAUCUUGAAAAUAUGCAACUAUCACGAUUAGUUCUUGAGGCUGUCAUCCACCUAGAGUCAAUACAGUCAUUGCCAAAGCGUGUUGAUUACUUGGAUUCAAUGGUGGAGAAAUUUAUUAUGCCAAAUCCUGGUAAUGCUAAUCUCGCUAGUGCCAUUGACCGAGAAGAGAUAUCAUGCAUCUUUUUAGAGUUUUUGGAUCUCUUUGGAGAUGCACAGUCAAUUAAAAAAGCCUCCAACCGGCAUGCUAUUCUUUUUUUACGUCAAAAGGGCAUGGUGGUAUCAAAAAAAAGGCAUGCUGAAGAUUUCCUUGCCUCGGACAAUGCUAAGAUGGCAAAGAACUUUCAUGAACCAGGUCAGUCAGCAUUGGGGGCCUAUACAAAUGUUCAAAGUCAGUGGCCAGCUGGCUAUGGACAAACAGCUCCUGCUUGGCCAACAGCCACCCAGCCACAGACCCAGUGGAAUCCUGGAUAUUCGUCACAUGCUGGAUAUGCUGCAUAUGGAAGUUAUGCAAAUUCUGGCCAGCCACAAGUUGCUACAUCAGCUCCUCAGAGUGCUGCUUACGGUGCUUAUCCACCUACAUACCAGUUUGAUGUUUGAUCAUGGGAUGGGAAAGAGUCUGAUUAGUAGUAGGGAUCUGUCAAGUAACUUUUACAAGGCUCAUCCUCAACUGGGUUAUGCGCAGCCAUCGUCAGCAGCAGUAGCACCGGGUUUUCCUCCUCAGCCAGUAGCAGCCCCACAGCCAUAUUAUGGCAGCUAUUGAUGACAUCUUGUUUUUGACACUUGCUGUCUUCUUUUGCUGCCAUUGUAUGCUUAGAAAUACAACACGAUGGAUCGCAGUUGGAUUUUAAUUGCUACAUGGAAAUAGAAUUUGGUGGAAGGCAGGCUUUGUGAAAGCAAGAAGAAUUAAGCAGACUCUGAUCCUUGUCGCCCUCACUUAACAUUUCUGCUUCAAUCCUCUUCGCAUCCUCCUACCUAGUAACUAAUCUUCAUACGGAGAAGUUAACUGGAUUGUAUGCAUCUAGAAGAGUUGGUGCUAUAUCUCCUCUCUCUCGUUUGUCGCUGUAAACAGUCUAUUUGUGAGAAAUGGCACUAAACAUGUGCUGUAGUAGCGGUAUAUUGAUUUUGUGUAAUCGUAGUCUAUGCUAGCAACUCUUGAUAUGCAAACGAAGUAGCAUUUCUAUGCUAACUCAACUCUCCUCUCCGUCUUCUCUCCUAUAGUUCAUGAUUAUAUUAAGCCUUGACCUUACAGGCGGGCAUAGUUGGUUCAUGUAAGGAAGUGUUGUCAAUAGAGGCAGGUGUAGUUGGUUCAUAAGUUGUCAAUGGAUAUGAGAUUAAUUUUUAA
Molecule: RNA transcript, 3563 nt
Organism: Zingiber officinale
Lineage: Eukaryota; Viridiplantae; Streptophyta; Magnoliopsida; Zingiberales; Zingiberaceae
Gene name: pre-mRNA-processing factor 39-like
Exons: 16
Source: RefSeq, a predicted model, not a curated record